Molecule: long non-coding RNA, 621 nt
Organism: Triticum dicoccoides
Lineage: Eukaryota; Viridiplantae; Streptophyta; Magnoliopsida; Poales; Poaceae
Exons: 4
Source: RefSeq, a predicted model, not a curated record
GUGAAAAUUAUAGAUCGAUUUUCUUAUUCCGUCAUCAGCUUCUAUUGAUAUGAGCGAUACAAAAAGUUCAGCACUGAAUUUUAGUAUGUUAACUUGCAAGAUUUCUCACGACUAUGUUUUUUUGUUAUAGGUUUAUAAAUUUCGAAAUAUAGUUGCAGCUUCACGGAAUGGACGGCCCAAAUUAUGUUAGUGUCUAUAUGUUUACUUGGUGGUGGUCUAGCGUGAGUGACACCUGCAUCUGUAACUUACCCAUUGGAUGUUCUUCGAAAUCACCUGACAACACAGAAAACCACUAGGUAUUACAAGGGCAUCUUUCACACGUUGUCUACAAUUUGUAGAGAAGAGAAUAGUAGAGGAUUGUAUAAAGGCCUUUGGUCCACCUUAUUGGGAGUUGGACCUGAUAUAUCAAUCAAUGUUUAUGUAUAUGAAUCCCUGAGGUCUCAUUGGAAAAUGGAAAGUUGAAUGUCAAACUGUGCGACCAAUGAUUUGAUAUGGUUAAUUCCAGUUGGGUGUGUUAACCUACAGUAAUCAAUCAAGUCAACAAAUAUAACAAUGAUACUUUGUCUUCUGAUUUUUGGUGAUGAUUUUUUUUGUGACUGAACUAACAGGAGUUGAAGCAUG